This is a long non-coding RNA of Camelus dromedarius (Arabian camel), 3934 nucleotides long. RefSeq lists it as uncharacterized. The record is from RefSeq and is a predicted model, not a curated record. The transcript is spliced from 2 exons. NCBI's taxonomy places the organism in Eukaryota, Metazoa, Chordata, Mammalia, Artiodactyla, Camelidae.
CAGGAGUGGGACUGCUGGAUCAUACAGUAAGUCUAUUUUCAGUCUUUUGAGGAAUCUCCAUACUGUUUUCCAUAAUGGCUGCACCAAGCUAAUGAUUAGACACUGGAACAUGGGUGCAGAAAAACCCACCUGCACAAACACAUCACGAGUCAGAAAUCACCAGAGCAGCCAGAGGUGGCUCUGCCACACUGCUGCUUUCAUCUUAACUGAGAACGUCUGAUUGCAGAACUGUUUGUUCAGGGCCCUCGCAGUGAAGGAGUCUAGAAUGUGAUGCUUGUCUGCAGCACAGGGUGGGGCCCAGUAAGGAAGGGAGGAUGCAUGAUGGUGGGGGGCGUGCAAGGUAAUACAUUAGGUGAUGUAGCAGGAAGGGCCAGGCCCCUGCUCAGCAGACAGCAGAGCGGUACUUCAUUGUGACCUUCUAGGCAAGAGGGAGUGCAGGGCAGUGUUGGAUAGGGGAGGUCAGUGGUCAUGGGCACUGACCCUGCAGCUAGGCAGGACUGGUGUGGAAUCCCAGGUCUCCCACGCCCGAGCUAAGGGACUUGAGCAGGUCACUGGGUCUCUCUGGGUUUUCCUUUUGUCCUCUGUAAAAGGACAGGGAUGGACGGUGGGGAGGGAGGUGGCCCACAAUGACCUGCAGCCAUCCAAUCUGCUUGGAGGGUGUGAGUGCGGCCCUCAGCCUCUCAGAGUCUCCCUUUCCUCUUAGGCUAUUUCACGAGAGCACAUGGGAGCCUGAACUGGCACUAACGGGCUCCCUGGUGGUGAAGGCAGCACAAGGCCUUCUGCUCUAAGGCGUCACCAGUGCCCCUCCCCGCACGUGGGAUGUGGGCAGCCCCUCUCUGUAAGCAGGAGAACAUUCUGCAGUCACACCUGAGAAUACCCGAACAGAGAUUAAUGUGGGUUAGUGAUUCUAAAACCUCUUUUUUAGCCCAAGAACCUCUUCUUUAUUUCUGCAAACAAAAUAUUUUGUAGGAUCUAAUGUAUUAAACAGAUACAACUUGGAGCUCUUCCGACGGCGGUAGGGGAGGGGAUCCCUGUUGCCACCCUCUCCACUUCCCCAUCUUGUCCCCACCCCACCAACUCCUGCAGAUCCCAGGACCUCCUGAAAGCACAGUUUGAAACUCUGACUGGUCUACGGCGAGAGUCAUUCCAACACCAGAAGGCCUAAUUCUGGUCAGAGCUCACCAUUGUCAACUGUGUGGUGGUGGACCAACCACUUUCUCUCUUUGGUCCUCAGUUUUUUCAUCUAUCAAAUGGGGACAAUUCCCCAGCUCUGCAGUUUUGUCUCGCUCCGGAGUCCACAGGUACGAUAGUGCUGUGAGCUGAAAACACAGCUGCGGUUUGGUUUGCACCUCGUCUCCUCCUGCAGACGCAUCUCACUGGGUCAGUAGUCAGAUGAUAAGCUGGACCUCCAGACUUUCAAGAUGAGUCUUUUUUUCUAUUUUUUUCUUUUUUUCCUUUUAUUGAAGUAUAGUUGACUUAAACAAUGUUGUGUUAGUUGCAGGUGUGUAGCAAAGUGAUUCAGAUAGAUACAGAAAUACAUUCUUUUUCAGAUUCUUUUCCACUGUAAGUUAUUACAAGGUAUUGAAUACAGUUCCCUGUGCUGUACAGUAGGACCUUGUUGUUUAUCUAUUUUAUAACAAAAUGAGUCUGUUUUGCAAUUCUACUCUAACACCAAAAUGUGAAAUGAUCUGUCUGCCUUAUUUCCAUCUUUCCUGCAAUGGAAGUCCCUCUCUCUUCUCCUGCCCCCAGCUCUCUGUGGUCUCGGAACCCCAGGUCUACCUGCAGCCUGGAUGGUCAGAGUCUUCACCACUCUCUUCUCUCUGCACCCGCAGCCCUGCCCCAGCCCACCCUUCUCAAGUCGCCCCAGAGUCCCUCCUGCAGGACCGUCAUUCCAGCAGGUGUACCUCCAAAGAAGGCAAGGAAUCCACCAUUCCCGCGCCACCGCUCCCCCCACCGAAUUCCGGACAGCCUCGGCCUGUUCGGCUCCCCACCUUGGCAUCUUUCAGAGCCGGGCCAACAGCUACUUUCAUGACUGCUUCCCAUGUAACACAGAUGACCGAGGGGCCAGGCUUAAUGUCCUCACUUGUAGGAGCUAGAAAUCCCACGACCUUGUCUAGAGCCAGCCCUUCAUAGAGAGACCUUAUUUGAAUGACGACAUAAUUGCUAAUUGGCAGGGCAACCUUUAAAAUGGCUUACACUCUACACAGGGGAGGAUGCCAAAGCCAGUGGGUUGUAAUUCUUUUCUAGCAGAGCGAGCACUGAGAAUAGAGGAGCGAGAAGAAAGGGGUCAGAAGAUCCAGCUCCAGAGUCUGGAGACGGAGGGUCUGGGUUCAACAAUCUCUCCUCCCCUUCCUGCACAUGCGAUAGCUUCCCUUCUCGUAGCUCACUUUGCUGAUCUGCAAAACCAGGGCAGAGGGACCUUUGCUGCUUGUUAGGUUUGGGCGAGGCAGGCACAGCAGUCCCCUCGCCGUCAGCGCGGGGCGGCUGGGGCUGGACAGACCGUGGCUGUGCGGGCUGCUCCGUGUGCUGUCGGCUGCUUAGAGGCAUCCUUAGCCUGUCCCCACCAGAUGCCAGUAGCACCCUGCCCUCAGUUGUGACAACCAAAAAUGUCCCUAGAUAUUCCCAGCACCCCCUUAGGAGCAAAAUCCCUCCCAGCUGAAAAGCACUGGUACAUGUGAACACACCAGGUAAGCAAACUCUUCGCUGCCUUGCCUGGAUGUGGCCAGCACACUUUUAUCAAUUCAUUCACUAAGUUGAUAUAAAGCUGAGAGCAGUUUUGAGAGUGAAAAUCAAAGCUGUCAGGCAAACACAGACCCUCUCCUCUUUCCUCCUGCCACCCUACCUGCCAUCAAAGACCAGGUGCGCUUGGCGACAGCCUGGCCUUAACCACCCAGCCCGGCCCGGAGCGCUCCCCUCUGCUGGCUGGAUACUUCUUGCGGCGUGGGCCUCACCCUUGUGAAGUUGGAUGCAUUAAUACCAGCAAAAUAUUUCUUAAUCUCCUAAGCCUCCACUUUGAAUCCUUAAAAAGGAAAGAAAGAAACGGCAUCAAUCUCUUAAUUAGGACGUCCAAUCACUUCAAUAAAUAUUUACUUGGUUCCGCAUGAGGCACGGAAACCCUGCGCCCUCGAUCAGUGGAGGUCGGCACAGUGCGCCUUGGGGACAGCGGGAUGCGGCCGGGCCCGGCUCUGGAUGCAGAGUGCUGGGAGGGCGUUUCCAGUCCUCCCACUUCUGCUAAAGAUAGGCGCCAGCAAACGUGCGAGGAGCGGAGUCACACGGCGUUUCUGCAUCACCGUCAUGGCCACCAUAGCCAGCUGUCAUUGAUCACUCACUGUGCCAGGUUCUGCUCUCGGUACUACAUGCACACGACCAUCGAUCCUCAGAACAACCCUCUGAGGUGAGCAGGACUGUUAUCUCCACUUUACAGAUGAGGAAAUGGAGGCUGAGCAAGGUCGCAUAGCUCGGACCAGCCAGAGAGUUGGAAAUGGGGUUGGGAGACCCUGGGAAGUCCCUGGACCUCUCAGAGCUCAGUUCCCUUCCCUGAAACGAGACGGUUGCAGGAUGAGCUCCAAAGGGGCUCCUGGCUCCCUCUGGGACUUGCUGAGCCCUCAGGUCUCCUGUGGCCUGCCCUGCAGCCCCGCUCUGCCUUCCCGGGAAAGCCAAGAUGCAGAGCCGGUGCAGAGUGGAGAUAAAGACUCUGGAGCCAGACUGCCUGGGUUCAAGUCCAUCAGCCACUGAAAUGACUUUGGGCAAGUCUUUGUACCAUGGCAUGUCAAUUGCCCCCCUGUAAAAUAGGGGUGAUACUGAUAGUACCUACUUCAUUCGCGGUGAGAGGAUUAAGUAUGUUAAUAUUUGUCAAGCGCUCAGAACAGUGUCUGGGACAGAGUUAAGCACUAUGUAAGGGUUUGUUAAAUAAAUAAAAAAUCCUUUUCCUUUU